RNAcentral lists this transfer RNA (83 nucleotides) under Nowellia curvifolia. RNAcentral's name for it is "tRNA-Tyr". It matches the Rfam family "tRNA". Rfam says of the family: Transfer RNA (tRNA) molecules are approximately 80 nucleotides in length. Their secondary structure includes four short double-helical elements and three loops (D, anti-codon, and T loops). The record is from RNAcentral. Lineage: Eukaryota; Viridiplantae; Streptophyta; Jungermanniopsida; Jungermanniales; Cephaloziaceae.
GGGAGAGUGGCCGAGUGGUUAAAAGCGACAGACUGUAAAUCUGCUGAAGGUUUUCUACGUAGGUUCGAAUCCUGCCCCUCCCA